RNAcentral lists this ribosomal RNA (170 nucleotides) under Gallinipes pseudodichotomus. Its description in RNAcentral is "Spizellomyces pseudodichotomus 5.8S ribosomal RNA". It matches the Rfam family "5.8S ribosomal RNA". From Rfam's summary of the family: 5.8S ribosomal RNA (5.8S rRNA) is a component of the large subunit of the eukaryotic ribosome. The record is from RNAcentral. Lineage: Eukaryota; Fungi; Chytridiomycota; Chytridiomycetes; Spizellomycetales; Spizellomycetaceae.
CAACUUUUGGCAACGGAUCUCUUGGCUCUCGCAACGAUGAAGAACGCAGCGAAAUGCGAUAAGUAGUGUGAAUUGCAGAAUUCAGUGAAUCAUCGAAUCUUUGAACGCACAUUGCGCUUCCUGGUAUUCCGGGGAGCAUGCCCGUUUCAGAAUCAUUAAAAUCUCACCGC